Polyodon spathula (Mississippi paddlefish) is the source of this 852-nucleotide long non-coding RNA. RefSeq lists it as uncharacterized. The record is from RefSeq and is a predicted model, not a curated record. The transcript is spliced from 3 exons. Lineage: Eukaryota; Metazoa; Chordata; Actinopteri; Acipenseriformes; Polyodontidae.
CAGAGACACAGAGUGUUAGUGAUCAUCAGAGAUCUUCAACCAGGUCAUCGCAGGUGAUCAGCAUGCUGAGAGAAAGAGACACAGAGUGUUAAUGAUCAUCAGAGAUCUUCAACCAGGUCAUCGCAGGUGAUCAGCAUGCUGAGAGACAGAGACACAGAGUGUUAAUGAUCAUCAGAGAUCUUCACCAGGUCAUCGCAGGUGAUCAGCAUGCUGAGAGAUAGAGACACAGAGUGUUAAUGAUCAUCAGAGAUCUUCAACCAGGUCAUCGCAGGUGAUCAGCAUGCUGAGAGACAGAGACACAGAGUGUUAAUGAUCAUCAGAGAUCUUCACCAGGUCAUCGCAGGUGAUCAGCAUGCUGAGAGACAGAGACACAGAGUGUUAAUGAUCAUCAGAGAUCUUCACCAGGUCAUCGCAGGUGACCAGCAUGCUGAGAGACAGAGACACAGACUGACAGAGAGUGCUAAUGAUCGUUUACCCUGGCCUCUCUGAAUCAAUCAAAACUCAAAAAAUCAAUCAAUCAAAACUUUUAUUUAUCCAGAUGAGGGCAAUCAUCCCCUCACUGCUAUAGUAUAAGGAAGAUAUCAGAAGUCAAGUUGCCAUGAAGGAAAGCUGUGUGCAAUAGAAAACCUGCAGCUUGGUUUCUGGCGCAAACUUGGUGGUAAAUGCAGGACGGUAUUAUCUGGAGAUCCAGCUGGGCUGUACCACCUAUGCUGACUGCGGGGGGGAGAGCGGACUCACUUGGGGGACUUGAGGUCCCGGUGGAUGAUCUUGUGCAGGUUUCGGAUGUCCGUCUCCUUGAGCUCCCGGACCUUCUUCACAGCCACCUCCUCGCCGUGCAACUUCCCCAAAAAC